AUUAUUUUUUUAGAUUCUUUUUUAUUGUUGAAAAAAUUAAAAACAAAUUGUUUUUUACAAUAAUUAAAAUUUAUAAUAUUUCAAUUUUUAAUUUUUAGUUUUAAAUAAAAAUUACAAAUAUGAAAAAUAAAAAAAUUUUGUUAUAAAUUAAAUUAAUUUAUUUAUAUUAAAAAUAUUUUUUAUAAUUUUUAUUUUUUUUAUUUUUUUAAAAAAAAAAUAAUUUAAUUAUAAUUAUUUAUUUAAAUUUAAUAAUUAAAUAUAAAAUUUUUUAUUAAAUAAAUUUAAUAAUAAAUGAUUUUUAAAUUCUUUGAGGUUUUGAUUUUUGAUUUUUUGUUUCUGCUCAUUGUUAAAGAAAAGCACUUUUAGCGUGAUUGGUCAAAGGUA
Molecule: ribosomal RNA, 384 nt
Filed under: Meloidogyne incognita (southern root-knot nematode)
Lineage: Eukaryota; Metazoa; Nematoda; Chromadorea; Rhabditida; Meloidogynidae
Description: partial 16S ribosomal RNA
Source: RNAcentral